Molecule: ribosomal RNA, 252 nt
Filed under: uncultured Bacteroidales bacterium
Lineage: Bacteria; Pseudomonadati; Bacteroidota; Bacteroidia; Bacteroidales
Description: partial 16S ribosomal RNA
Rfam family: Bacterial small subunit ribosomal RNA
Source: RNAcentral
UACGGAGGAUGCGAGCGUUAUCCGGAUUUAUUGGGUUUAAAGGGUGCGUAGGCGGAUUUUUAAGUCAGCGGUAAAAUGUCCGGGCUCAACCCGGGCCGGCCGUUGAAACUGGGGAUCUUGAGUGGGCGAGAAGUAUGCGGAAUGCGUGGUGUAGCGGUGAAAUGCAUAGAUAUCACGCAGAACUCCGAUUGCGAAGGCAGCUUACUAAGCCAUAACUGACACUGAAGCACGAAAGCGUGGGGAUCAAACAGG